GGGCUAAUACCGGAUACGCCCUACGGGGGAAAGAUUUAUUGCCGAAGGAUUGGCCCGCGUCUGAUUAGCUAGUUGGUGAGGUAAUGGCUCACCAAGGCGACGAUCAGUAGCUGGUCUGAGAGGAUGAUCAGCCACAUUGGGACUGAGACACGGCCCAAACUCCUACGGGAGGCAGCAGUGGGGAAUAUUGGACAAUGGGCGCAAGCCUGAUCCAGCCAUGCCGCGUGAGUGAUGAAGGCCUUAGGGUU
Molecule: ribosomal RNA, 248 nt
Filed under: Beijerinckia sp.
Lineage: Bacteria; Pseudomonadati; Pseudomonadota; Alphaproteobacteria; Hyphomicrobiales; Beijerinckiaceae
Description: partial 16S ribosomal RNA
Rfam family: Bacterial small subunit ribosomal RNA
Source: RNAcentral